GAUGAACGCUGGCGGCGUGCCUAAUACAUGCAAGUCGAGCGAACAGACGAGGAGCUUGCUCCUCUGACGUUAGCGGCGGACGGGGGAGUAACACGUGGAUAACCUACCUAUAAGACUGGGAUAACUUCGGGAAACCGGAGCUAAUACCGGAUAAUAUAUUGAACCGCAUGGUUCAAUAGUGAAAGACGGUUUUGCUGUCACUUAUAGAUGGAUCCGCGCCGCAUUAGCUAGUUGGUAAGGUAACGGCUUACCAAGGCAACGAUGCGUAGCCGACCUGAGAGGGUGAUCGGCCACACUGGAACUGAGACACGGUCCAGACUCCUACGGGAGGCAGCAGUAGGGAAUCUUCCGCAAUGGGCGAAAGCCUGAUGGAGCAACGCCGCGUGAGUGAUGAAGGUCUUCGGAUCGUAAAACUCUGUUAUUAGGGAAGAACAAAUGUGUAAGUAACUAUGCACGUCUUGACGGUACCUAAUCAGAAAGCCACGGCUAACUACGU
This 496-nucleotide ribosomal RNA is filed under the name uncultured bacterium. RNAcentral's name for it is "partial 16S ribosomal RNA". It matches the Rfam family "Bacterial small subunit ribosomal RNA", at positions 28 to 506 of the family's 1533-position model. The record is from RNAcentral.